CACAAAAGGACUUGACGUGAGUAUUUUACAUGUAUUAUCAUUGUAUUUUAUUAUGUACUAUAGAAAGGCUGCGGUGAGGCAAACCCUUCGGUUUUGACAUUUUUCAUCACAUGAAUCAACAUUUUCAAAUUAAUUUAAUAAUUUAAGGCACUUCAGUUCAGUAUUUUUAUGACUGCAAACAAAUACUGUAAUCUAUAAUUUGUAAAUUUGUUGCCCUCUCUGCCGAAGAUGGCUGAUGUUCUCCAGUUUUGAAGUUUGAAAACAUAUAUGUCUAUACUUUUGCACUCUGGUGUUGCUGUGCAAGUGUGGCGACAAGCCGCCUUUCGCCGGCACCCCUCUUUGGUGGCUGAUUAACAAAUUGGCCGCCUGAUAUUGGGGACUUGUAUAUAGGCAUAUAUGUGCAUGACAUUAAAAAAAUGAAAGCUUUUUGGAAAUUAUUAAUUAACCUGGCAAUUUGAAAGAAUUAUAUAUUCUCCAGUUUUGAACAACAUAUAUGUCUAUACUUUUGCACUCUGGUGUUGCUGUGCAAGUGUGGCGACAAGCCGCCUUUCGCCGGCACCCUCUUUGGUGGCUGAUUAAAAUUGGCCGCCUGAUAUUGGGGACUUGUAUAUAGGCAUAUAUGUGCAUGACAUUAAAAAAAUGAAAGCUUUUUGGAAAUUAUUAAUUAACCUGGCAAUUUGAAAGAAUUAUAUAUUCUCCAGUUUUGAACAACAUAUAUGUCUAUACUUUUGAACUCUGGUGUUGCUGUGCAAGUGUGGCGACAAGCCGCCUUUCGCCGGCACCCCUCUUUGGUGGCUGAUUAACAAAUUGGUCGCCUGAUAUUGGGGACUUGUAUAUAGGUAUAUAUGUGCAUGACAUUAAAAAAAUGAAAGCUUUUUGGAAAUUAUUAAUUAACCUGGCAAUUUGAAAGAAUUAUAUAUUCUCCAGUUUUGAACAACAUAUAUAUGUCUAUACUUUUGCACUCUGGUGUUGCUGUGCAAGUGUGGCGACAAGCCGCCUUUCGCCGGCACCCCUCUUUGGUGGCUGAUUAACAAAUUGGCUGCCUGAUAUUGGGGACUUGUAUAUAUAGGUAUAUAUGUGCAUGACAUUAAAAAAUGAAAGCUUUUUGGAAAUUAUGAAUUAACCUGGCAAUUUGAAAGAAUUAUAUAUUCUCCAGUUUUGAACAACAUAUAUGUCUAUACCUUUGCACUCUGGUGUUGCUGUGCAAGUGUGGCGACAAGCCGCCUUUCGCCGGCACCCCUCUUUGGUGGCUGAUUGAAAUUGGCCGCCUGAUAUUGGGGACUUGUAUAUAGGCAUAUAUGUGCAUGACAUUAAAAAAAUGAAAGCUUUUUGGAAAUUAUUAAUUAACCUGGCAAUUUGAAAGAAUUAUAUAUUCUGCAGUUUUGAACAACAUAUAUGUAUAUACUUUUGCACUCUGGUGUUGCUGUGCAAGUGUGGCGAGAAGCCGCCUUUCGCCGGCACCCCUCUUUGGUGGCUGAUUAACAAAUUGGCCGCCUGAUAUUGGGAACUUGUAUAUAGGUAUAUAUGUGCAUGACAUUAAAAAAAUGAAAGCUUUUUGGAAAUUAUUAAUUAACCUGGAAAUUUGAAAGAAUUAUAUAUUCUCCAGUUUUGAACAACAUAUAUGUCUAUACUUUUACACUCUGGUGUUGCUGUGCAAGUGUGGCGACAAGCAGCCUUUCGCCGUCACCACUCUUUGGUGGCUGAUUUGCAUGGUGGCUGAUUAAUUGGGGACUACAGUUAUUGACAUAUAUCGAUAUAUGAAUAAUAUAAAAAUAUUUAAGUGUUUAGAAAUUAUUAGGUAUAAAAACUCAUAUGAAACAUUAACCUAGAAAUUUGAAAGAAUAUUAUUCGGUCUAAAUCUCAGUGGCAGUGUGUAUUAAUUUUAUUUAUUAUUUUAUAUCAUACUACUGUAUAUUGUUUAUUGUAUAUUAUACUAUAUGUGGUUUUGGCAUUUCCUUACUCAAAUAAUAACCAUGUAUAAGUGUUAUGUUAGAGCACACCCAAACCGGGGGCUGAAUUAAGGGAUAUAAUAAAUGUAGUUCACUCUGCAACAUUAAUUUCUAAUUAUAUGUUCCUUCUAUUUAUCUAGGAAAGUUAAGAUGUAGACAGCUUCGUGUCAAGCAAAGACCCAAAAGAAUUGCCAUUUCUUGUAAUGGUUGUCUGGCGACCGUUGAAUGCAAUUUCUCAAAUCUUUAUUGUCGCUGACUUGCUGGUACUUUUUCGAGUUAAGGUUGUAAUUGUGGAACUGAUGGCAUGAACUCACAUUCUCUUUUCGAGAGGAGGUUAAUUAAUGAAAUUAGGAAUGACAUAUACUAAGUAAUAUGAACUGAAUAAAAUCUGAACUCAGUAGGAGAGGGCAAUUGCUCUUGUAUUGUAUAUGCAGUAGGUAUCGUUUAUAACUCAUUGCAGUAUUUGCAUCAGUUUGGUUCGAAUGUUGCAUCUUUACUCUGAACGGAGUGCGUACAACCAUGCAUGCAUGUAUUGUAGGUCAAAAUCACUUUGUUUGUUACCACUG
Molecule: non-coding RNA, 2515 nt
Organism: Paramuricea clavata
Lineage: Eukaryota; Metazoa; Cnidaria; Anthozoa; Malacalcyonacea; Plexauridae
Source: the annotation of a GenBank genome assembly